UACGAAGGGGGCUAGCGUUGCUCGGAAUCACUGGGCGUAAAGCGCACGUAGGCGGCUUUCUAAGUCAGGGGUGAAAUCCUGGAGCUCAACUCCAGAACUGCCUUUGAUACUGGAGAGCUAGAGUCCGGAAGAGGUGAGUGGAACUGCGAGUGUAGAGGUGAAAUUCGUAGAUAUUCGCAAGAACACCAGUGGCGAAGGCGGCUCACUGGUCCGGUACUGACGCUGAGGUGCGAAAGCGUGGGGAUCAAACAGG
Molecule: ribosomal RNA, 253 nt
Filed under: uncultured bacterium
Lineage: Bacteria
Description: partial 16S ribosomal RNA
Rfam family: Bacterial small subunit ribosomal RNA
Source: RNAcentral